AACGAACGCUGGCGGCAGGUUUUAGGCAUGCAAGUCGAACGGGACGAAAGUCCAGUGGCGCACGGGUGAGUAACACGUGGGAAUCUACCUUUUAAUGGGGAAUAGCCAGCAGAAAUGCUGGGUAAUACCGCAUAAGCCCUUCGGGGGAAAGACGUAAGUCGUUGAAAGAUGAGCCCGCGCAAGAUUAGCUUGUUGGUGAGGUAAAAGCUCACCAAGGCAACGAUCUUUAGCUGGUCUGAGAGGACGAUCAGCCACACUGACAUUGAGAUACGGGUCAGAGUCCUACGGGGGGCAGCAGGUAAGAAUUUUGGACAAUGGGGGAAACCCUGAUCCAGCCAUGCCGCGUGAAUGAUGAAGGCCCUCGGGUUGUAAAGUUCUUUAGUCCGGGAAGAUAAUGACGGUACCGGAAGAAUAAGCACCGGCUAACUUCGUGCCAGCCGCCGCGGUAA
RNAcentral lists this ribosomal RNA (449 nucleotides) under uncultured bacterium. RNAcentral describes it as "partial 16S ribosomal RNA". It matches the Rfam family "Bacterial small subunit ribosomal RNA", at positions 29 to 523 of the family's 1533-position model. The record is from RNAcentral.